CAGUCGCCGCGGGAAUACCGAGGAUGCAAGCGUUAUUCGGAAUGAUUGGGCGUAAAGCGUCUGUAGGUGGCUUUUCAAGUCCGCCGUCAAAUCCCAGGGCUCAACCCUGGACAGGCGGUGGAAACUACCAAGCUGGAGUACGGUAGGGGCAGAGGGAAUUUCCGGUGGAGCAGUGAAAUGCGUUGAGAUCGAAAAGAACACCAACGACGAAAGCACUCUGCUGGGUCGACACUGACACUGAGAGACGAAAGCUAGGGGAGCAAAUGGGAUUAGAUACCCCCGUAGUCCCUGUCUCUUAUAC
This 301-nucleotide ribosomal RNA is filed under the name uncultured bacterium. Its description in RNAcentral is "partial 16S ribosomal RNA". It matches the Rfam family "Bacterial small subunit ribosomal RNA", at positions 509 to 807 of the family's 1533-position model. The record is from RNAcentral.